UCUUACAUUCCCUACUCAACAAGUUUCACAGGGAUUGGAUCAGGAGAGUGAGAUUCCAUCACCAAAAGAGUUAGGAAGUAGGUCUUCUGGAGCAAGCAACAAGGAAGCAUGACCUUGCUUGAUAUGUU
Molecule: non-coding RNA, 128 nt
Organism: Arachis ipaensis
Lineage: Eukaryota; Viridiplantae; Streptophyta; Magnoliopsida; Fabales; Fabaceae
Source: RefSeq, a predicted model, not a curated record